This 491-nucleotide ribosomal RNA is filed under the name uncultured bacterium. RNAcentral describes it as "bacterial SSU rRNA". It matches the Rfam family "Bacterial small subunit ribosomal RNA", at positions 30 to 521 of the family's 1533-position model. The record is from RNAcentral.
AUUGAACGCUGGCGGCAUGCCUUACACAUGCAAGUCGAACGGCAGCACGGGGCAACCUGGUGGCGAGUGGCGAACGGGUGAGUAAUGCAUCGGAACGUGCCAUUGAGUGGGGGAUAACGUAGCGAAAGUUGCGCUAAUACCGCAUAUUCUGUGAGCAGGAAAGCAGGGGACCGCAAGGCCUUGCGCUCUUUGAGCGGCCGAUGUCAGAUUAGCUAGUUGGUGAGGUAACGGCUUACCAAGGCGACGAUCUGUAGCGGGUCUGAGAGGAUGAUCCGCCACACUGGAACUGAGACACGGUCCAGACUCCUACGGGAGGCAGCAGUGGGGAAUUUUGGACAAUGGGCGCAAGCCUGAUCCAGCCAUGCCGCGUGAAGGAUUAAGGGCCCUAUGGGUUGUAAACUUCUUUGUUUGGGAAGAAAUCAGGACAUUUAUGUGCUGUUGACGGUACCUUACGAAUAAGCACCGGCUAACUCCGUGCCAGCAGCCGCGGU